Molecule: long non-coding RNA, 382 nt
Filed under: Equus caballus (horse)
Lineage: Eukaryota; Metazoa; Chordata; Mammalia; Perissodactyla; Equidae
Description: lncRNA (ENSECAG00000059573.1)
Source: RNAcentral
CAGGUGUGUUCCGAAGGAGGAAAGAAGGUCACCGUCCCAGAAUUUGGUGACCAAGGGGAAAGUGGGAUGAGAUCUUCUAGCUGCUGUGUGGAGAAUGGACUAUCAGGAGGCCAGAGGGAAAGCAGAGGGCCAGGUAGGAUGCCACCACAGCAUGGUUUGAAGAGCAGUGCUAUGUCCACACCUGGAAUCCGAACCAGAGAACACUGGGCCACCAAAGCAGAGCGCAGGAACUUAACCAUCAUGCCACAGGGCUGCCUCCAAUUUAUUACUUUUUAACACAGAGAAAUCCAAAGAAGGAAGGCAAAAAUUGUUCAUAAUCUUCCCACCUAGGAAAGAUCUUUUGAUGUUUUUGAGGAAAAUAAAAUAAAGUAGUACAUCUACA